AUUUCAAGUGUAUGUGACCAACACAUCAUUUAUUCCAUCUAAUGGUUAUCUCUGUUAUAAAGACCCUUAUCCGUCUCCUCUUCCAAGCAUCACACAGACUAUUUCUUGUUAUCAACUUGGAAAAUAUGUCAUUUAUUACGAUGAUAAAGGAACUGAUGAAGGAAAUAACGUAUUCCCGCCUAUUGUUGAACUAUGCUACGUUGCUAUCAAUGGAUGCUUUCAAGGUACAUGGGGAACAAACUGUUCAGAUGCAUGUCCACCUAAAUGUAUAGACCAACACUGUUAUCCUGGAAACGGUUCCUGUGUUUGGGGUUGUGAUCCUCAGAACUGUUUAAAAAACAAAUGUGAUAUACAUACAGGUGCCUGUAUCAAAGGAUGUGUAACUGGAUUGACCGGACAGUUCUGUGACAGAGGAGGCAAGAUGUAGAUGAAUAAGUGGGUGAUGAAAAAAAGUCGAAGAGGAAACAAUACACAUGGAAACAGUUAUCUUGACGUAAAUAGCUGAUAUAAUGAACUCGGACAAGGAUCAUCAAAAAUCCAUAUUACCAGCUUCAACAAAGCAGUACUGAAAAUCAAGGAAAGGGCAUGGUCUAUAACCAAAACAAAAUACAGACUGCAAAUUUCAAAACAAUACACAUUGGAAUUAUUACCGAUGCAUCAAAAAAUCGGUCCUAUACGAUCACCAAACGGUCCAUAUAACCAGCUUCGAAAGGUAGUUACUGAAAAAAAUUAAAUGAUAAAUGAAAUGAAAAAUCUUGACAACCGUACAACAUGUACAAGAGAUUAUAAUUUUCACGUAUUAGAAGGAAUCAAUAAAUGCGACAGUAAAACUUGUUCCUUACUUACAGUAUGUGCAUACCAAUUCAAGUUAUAUUGACUUAUUGGUAUAUGUAUAAAUAACAAUGUAUCUACUGUGGUGUACCAAACAUUAACCUAUCAUACAAUUAUAACAAUUGAAAUAUUAUUAAAAUUGUUUAAAUAAAUUAAGCA
Molecule: long non-coding RNA, 990 nt
Organism: Mytilus californianus (California mussel)
Lineage: Eukaryota; Metazoa; Mollusca; Bivalvia; Mytilida; Mytilidae
Exons: 3
Source: RefSeq, a predicted model, not a curated record